Molecule: ribosomal RNA, 710 nt
Filed under: Enterococcus faecalis
Lineage: Bacteria; Bacillati; Bacillota; Bacilli; Lactobacillales; Enterococcaceae
Description: bacterial SSU rRNA
Rfam family: Bacterial small subunit ribosomal RNA
Source: RNAcentral
GCUUCUUUCCUCCCGAGUGCUUGCACUCAAUUGGAAAGAGGAGUGGCGGACGGGUGAGUAACACGUGGGUAACCUACCCAUCAGAGGGGGAUAACACUUGGAAACAGGUGCUAAUACCGCAUAACAGUUUAUGCCGCAUGGCAUAAGAGUGAAAGGCGCUUUCGGGUGUCGCUGAUGGAUGGACCCGCGGUGCAUUAGCUAGUUGGUGAGGUAACGGCUCACCAAGGCCACGAUGCAUAGCCGACCUGAGAGGGUGAUCGGCCACACUGGGACUGAGACACGGCCCAGACUCCUACGGGAGGCAGCAGUAGGGAAUCUUCGGCAAUGGACGAAAGUCUGACCGAGCAACGCCGCGUGAGUGAAGAAGGUUUUCGGAUCGUAAAACUCUGUUGUUAGAGAAGAACAAGGACGUUAGUAACUGAACGUCCCCUGACGGUAUCUAACCAGAAAGCCACGGCUAACUACGUGCCAGCAGCCGCGGUAAUACGUAGGUGGCAAGCGUUGUCCGGAUUUAUUGGGCGUAAAGCGAGCGCAGGCGGUUUCUUAAGUCUGAUGUGAAAGCCCCCGGCUCAACCGGGGAGGGUCAUUGGAAACUGGGAGACUUGAGUGCAGAAGAGGAGAGUGGAAUUCCAUGUGUAGCGGUGAAAUGCGUAGAUAUAUGGAGGAACACCAGUGGCGAAGGCGGCUCUCUGGUCUGUAACUGACGCUGA